This 253-nucleotide ribosomal RNA is filed under the name uncultured bacterium. RNAcentral describes it as "partial 16S ribosomal RNA". It matches the Rfam family "Bacterial small subunit ribosomal RNA", at positions 524 to 776 of the family's 1533-position model. The record is from RNAcentral.
UACGUAGGGUGCGAGCGUUAAUCGGAAUUACUGGGCGUAAAGCGUGCGCAGGCGGUUCGUUGUGUCGGUGGUGAAAGCCCCGGGCUUAACCUGGGAAUGGCCGUCGAAACUGGCGAACUGGAGUGUGGCAGAGGGGGGUGGAAUUCCGCGUGUAGCAGUGAAAUGCGUAGAGAUGCGGAGGAACACCGAUGGCGAAGGCAGCCCCCUGGGCUGACACUGACGCUCAGGCACGAAGGCGUGGGGAGCGAACGGG